AGAUCUAGAAAGAUCCAGAGAGCUCUCCGUCAUUGCAAGGUCACCAUCCUCUGCCUCGUCCUCACCCUCGUCGUCCUACGUGGCACUAUCGGAGCCGGUAAAUUCGGGACUCCGGGCCAGGACCUCGCCGAGAUCCGCGACCACCUCUAUUCCCGGAAACGUGGCGAGCCGCAUCGCGUCCUCGAAGAAGUCCAAACGAUUUCCUUAGAUAAACACGACGGCGCCGACACCAACGCCGGCACCAAUAACUACAACGAGUUCGACAUAAAUAAGGUCUUAAUCGAUGAGGAACCAGACGUCCCGAAACGCGAUCCCAACGCGCCCUAUUCGCUCGGGCCCAGAAUCUCCGAUUGGGACGAGCAACGCUCUAGAUGGCUUCAAGAAAACCCUAAUUACCCGAAUUUCAUCGGUCCAAACAAGCCGAGGGUUCUCUUAGUCACUGGUUCAUCUCCCAAACCUUGUGAGAACCCUGUCGGUGAUCAUUACUUAUUGAAAUCGAUCAAGAACAAGAUCGAUUAUUGUAGAUUACACGGGAUCGAGAUAUUUUACAACAUGGCGCUGUUGGAUGCUGAAAUGGCAGGGUUUUGGGCGAAAUUACCGUUGAUUCGAAAGCUUUUGCUCUCGCAUCCGGAGGUGGAAUUCUUGUGGUGGAUGGAUAGUGACGCCAUGUUUACUGAUAUGGCAUUUGAGGUUCCUUGGGAAAGGUAUAAAGACUCCAACUUUGUUAUGCACGGUUGGAAUGAAAUGGUUUAUGAUCAGAAGAAUUGGAUUGGGCUAAACACUGGGAGUUUUUUGUUGAGGAAUGGGCAAUGGGCACUUGACAUUCUUGAUGCUUGGGCUCCAAUGGGUCCUAAAGGCAAGAUUAGGGAAGAAGCAGGGAAGGUUUUGACCCGGGAGCUUAAGAAUAGACCCGUUUUCGAAGCCGAUGAUCAGUCUGCAAUGGUAUAUUUGUUGGCUACUCAAAGGGAGAAGUGGGGUGAUAAGGUUUACUUAGAGAAUUCUUAUUAUUUGCACGGUUAUUGGGGGAUCUUGGUUGAUAGAUAUGAGGAAAUGAUUGAGAAUUAUCACCCAGGUUUAGGGGAUCAUCGUUGGCCGUUGGUGACCCACUUUGUGGGGUGCAAACCUUGUGGUAAGUUUGGGGAUUACUCGGUGGAGAGGUGCUUGAAGCAAAUGGAUAGAGCAUUCAAUUUUGGGGAUAAUCAGAUUCUUCAGAUUUAUGGGUUCACUCACAAGUCAUUGGCUAGUAGAAGGGUUAAGAGAGUACGAAAUGAGACGGAUAAUCCGCUUGAGGUGAAAGAUGAGCUUGGACUGCUUCAUCCGGCUUUUAAAGCCGUUAAGGUAUCCUCUUCUUGAAGAUAUAGGCUUUGUAUGAUAUCUUCUGCUGUUAAAUUAUAGGUUACAAUAUUCAAAUGUUGUGUAUGCAGUGCGAAUUUUGUGUUUACGGUCUGGAUAAAUAGUAUUCUUUUGUUCCUCGUCUUGAAAUUAUGAGUUCUUUAUAUGCUUUCCGAAUGAAAACUUAGCUCCUUGUUCUUUCCACAGCUAUUCAUUUUUUGUAGCUAAUAAGCAAACUUGAUUCUGUCAAUGUUUUAACAUGGUGAUAUAUGUUACUGCAUUUGUAAUUCAAUCAUUAGUCUGCAAUGUUUAUCGAUGUUGGGAGCUGGUAUACUUUCAUACUGCUAGGGUAAGCCAGUGAAACUAGGCCGCUGCAGGUACUCUGUUCUUUGAAACUUUAGCUGGAUGAAUAUAUAGUCGGGUUGAAACUUAAUUGUUGUGGUUAAUUGCUUGUUUUCGUGGUUCAAAAGAAAGUGAGAAACAUCUCACUGAAUGAGGUAAGCAUUGAUUAUCAUUAGUCUCGUUCUCUGUUUCUUGUUUCUUUGAUUCGAACUCUUUAGAUCCCCAUGGAGGAAAAGAGUCGAGGCUUGCUAGGAAUAGGAUGAUAGCGAGCUGCAGUUUCCUGCUUUUAUCAUUUUAAUGGCUGAUAUUUAUGUUGCCCCGAUUCUUAUUUUUCUUCAAAUAUCCGUGUCCAAUGUUCUUGUCUGACACACAUCCGUAUAUGAGUGCCGGAUAUGAUCUUCAAAAUACAUGGAAGAACUUAAAAUUGUUGGGACAUAUAUUUGACACACUACUAAAAGCUGUCGAUACUCAUUUACUCCAUAACUGAGUUCACUAGUAUUGAUGAAUCUGUUCAGCAAUGGAUUCAUCUUUACAAUUACUUUUAAGUAUCAAUUUUUGACAUCUAUGUUAUAUGCUUGUUGAAAUAUGAAUAUAGAGAUAUGAUCAUUAAAACUUGUGUUAACCACGUACCCAUGUCCGAAUUUAUAUUCGACACUUGUUUUCAACUGCAAUAGCUCUAGAUGUCCUAAACAGGGUUAUGAAUUUCCUAGACACUUAAUGACUAAAUUGUAAAUUUUUUUUACUUAAAUAAUUAAAUUAAAAGCUUACCUAUAUAAAUCCAUGAUUUACCCCUAAACCAAAACAUGUCGGACCAGUCAACCUUCUAUAAUAUGGAUAGCACAAAAUUUCAAUAUAAUAUAAUAAUAAAAAUAGAAACAAUAAAAAUGGGAUUGAACGACUUUUUUUUUUCUUAAAAAGGAAAGACUUUAUUAACAUUUUCUGGAUUUUAAAAAAAUGGUCUUAAGUAACACCUUAUAAUUAAAUUUGGUAAGUGCACUGGGCCCCGACCUCUCAUGACAAACUCGUGGUCUUCUCCCUCUUUGUGGAUGGCGUGGGGUUACCAAUUUUUGGAAAUUUAACCAAUAAUGGAGCUGUCCAUUUUUCAUUCUAAUGAUAAGAAUAAAUAAUAAAAAUUAUAAAAAUUAUAAAUCAGUGCAAUUGAUUCAAUUAUUGUUUUUUUUUCGAGUUUUUCGAUUUUUAUCUAUUCACAAGCCAUUAAUUUAUGGUUUAACCGAUUUAAUCAGUUGAUUUAGUCUAAUUCUAACAUCACUGAGAUUACUACUCUAUUAGUCUCGGAAGAUCGAUUUUUCUGGUGGCCAUGCUUUUGGAGGCUUGUUCCUUCUGAUGGGACCUUUCGAGCUCUUUAAGUUCUGUUUGUAUUACUUGAGCUUUUUUUACCAUUGUUUCAGGUAAGGGCGUUCAGAGAUGAAUCAUGAAAUUUGGGGACUCAAAAUAUAAUUUUACCAAUUAUAUUAAUUUGUAAUUUCGUAAAUUUGUAAAGGAUUAAAAAUAUAUUUACCAUUUUGGGGGCAAGGUUACAACCUUCCCCUUUAUCUAUGCGUUGGUUUCAGGGUGUUGCAGUAAGUCCAUCGCCAAAAAGAGCGAGGGACUCAACCCAAACUCUUAUCCAUCAUGUUUUUGCUUUACCCUAAUGCUUGCUCCUCAAGGUUAUCGACAUAAAUCUCCCUCUCUUUGCUUUCAUGUUGAUCUAUGUGUAGAAGGGGGAAUUGCUCGUCGCCUUCCUAGGUUAGGAUUAAGGUUUUUUGUAUCUUUUAUGUUCGUUUUUAUAAUUUAUGUUUGAGGUUUAUGAUUAUAUUUUUUAUAACGUUGUCUCCAAUGUUUAUUUGUUUUUUUUCUUUUGGCUUUUUAUCUUUUAUGCUAUUCAACAUUUGCUUAUUCAUGUUCAUGUCUAUAACCAAAGAAAGUAAAUAAAUCUAGAUAAUUUCUUCAACAACAUAAUGAUACAUAUAAAUAUACAUACAUAUAUUCAUCACACUAAAGGGUAAACUUAAUAAUUAUAACUCUCACAUUAACUUAUUGCUGCUAUAAAAAAAAAUUUAAAAUUGGUUAACCUGCUAAUCGAUGUGUGAACUAAUUGAACUAGGUUAAAAAAUCAAUUGAAUUGGCAGUUGAAUUUAUUUUUAUAAUUUUUUUAUUUUUAAUAAUUUAUUUACUUUGAAUUGAUAUCGGUUGUUCUGGGAACUAAUUGGUCGCAUUAGUUCAAAAUUGAUUCAACUAGAGCUGAUCAUGGGCUGGGCGGCCCGGUCCAGCCCGGCCCGAAAGCCCGCCCGAAAAAUGAGAGGGUUUGGGUAAAAAUAUAGGCCCGAAAAAUGGGCUUGGGAAAAAAAAUGAGGCCCCUUUAAAAAACGGGCCGGGCCUCGAGUAAGAGUUUUUUGGCCCAGGCCCGGCCCGACCCGAAUUAUAUAUUAAUAUAUAUAUAUAUUUAUUUUUAAUUCUUUUAAAUUUUUAAUAUAAUCAUUUUUUAUUAUAUUAUUAAUUUGUGUAUUGUUUUAGUAUUAUUUUUAUUUGUUUUAAUAUUUGUUUUUAUGUUUUUAAAUAUAUUUGAUUUAUUAAAUUUUUAAAUUUUUUUAUUUAAUGAAAUAAAAAAAUUUAAUAUGGGCCGGGCCGGGCCGGGCCGGGCUCUAGCUUAGUAAUUUUAUUUCGGGCCGGGUUUGGGCACAAUUUUAAGCCCAUAUUUCGGGCCGGGCCUGGUAGACGGCCUAAAAAUUUGUAUGGACCCGACCCGAACCUGGCCCGGCCCGACCCGACCCAUGAUCACUUCUAGAUUCAACUAGUUUUUUAACUCAAUUCAACUAGUCUGUACUAUUUCAUGGGUUAAUUGAUUUUCUACCUAUCACCAAAUUGAUACCCCAAUCGAUUUUUGAUCUGAUUAGUCGAUCUAGUUCAAUUUAAAUAAUAUUGAAUUUUGACAUUUUUAUAUUUUAAAUUCAUUUUUAUUUUUUUCAUAUUUUUAUUUUAAAAAAAUUAUAAAUUCUUAAUUUUUUAUUUAAAACAUAAAAAUAAUUUUUAAUGGGUAAUGACCAAAUUAAUAAAAAAAUGUAAAUCUAAAGUUAAAAAUAUUAUUUUACAUUUGACAUCAUUAACUUUAGUGGCAAAUUAGACGGAGUGCAAGAUUUUUAAAGGGUAAACUACCUAUUUAGUCACUGAGUUUACCUAUAUUCCUAUUUUGGUUUCUCAUUUUAAAAUUUUGUUAUUUUAGUUAGUAUUGUUAGAUAAUUUGUCAAUUUUAGUCACUUUACCCUUAAAAUGGGUUUCACCACCAAACAUAAUACUGAUGUGGCCUGCUAUAAUAAUAAAAUUAGCCCUUAAUAUUUACCCAUUUAAUUAAUUUAUUCUUAAUUUUUUUAAAAAAUAAAUUUAACUAUUAAUAUUUACACAUUAUAUAAAUUCAGUCAUGAUUCAAAAAAUUAAGAAGUAUAAAAUAAAAUUCAAAAAUUUUAAAAUUAAUAAAAAUAUACAAAAUACUCAAAAAAAAUUUAAAAAUAGUUUUUACUUCCCACCUUGUGGCUUUGAUGGUUCCCACAGCUGUCGCUUGUGCUGCCUUCUUCGUCAACUUUGGUCAUUGGAUACAACUUGCAAAGUCACAAGUAAAAAACGAAGAUGCAAAAUUCACACAAUAAAAAGGAAUUAAAAAGAAAGAGGGAACCUUUCAUGGAGCUGCCCAAGGUUACUGCCUAUUUUUUUUCUUUAUAAUUUUCUAGUAUUUUAUAUAUUUUUCUAAAUUUUAAUAAUUUUUUAAUUUUUAUGUUAAUUUUUAAUUUUAAUUUUCUUAAUUUUUAGAAUCAUGACCAAAUUAGAAUAUUGUGUAAAUAUUAAGGGCUAAUUUUGUUAUUUUUUAAAAUAAAGAUCAAAUUAACAAAAUGGGUAAAUAUUGAGGACUAAUUUUUUUAUUAUACUAGGUCACUUCAACAUUUCGUUAUAAUCAAAUCCACUUUAACGAGUGACUAAAAUUAAUAACUUAUCUAACGAGAGUAACUAAAAUUGACAACUUACUAAAUAGAAGUGACUGAAAUAACAAAUUUUUGAAAUGAGUCACCAAAAUAGGAACGCGGGUAAACUCAAGUGACUAGGAAGUGUACCCAUUUUUAAAUAUAAAAAAAGUCUCAAAAUUAAAAUUAUAAGGACUAAAUUUUUAAUUUUAUAAGAGUACAGGGGACUAUAACAGAUUUAAACCAAAAUAAAUCACACCGACACAUAUCGCCAUUUUUAUCAGAGAAAAGAGUAUCUAAAAUCUCCCCAAAAAUCUUUGAAAUUUCAUUUCCGAGGGUUCUCUCUGGAUUCCCUAUUUUCCAAAUCGGUAUUGUUAGGGAUUUGACGCUAAUCCGGAUCGGGUAACGAACCGGAAGAUGAUAGACAAUUGCUUGGGAGCUCAAAGAUCUAGAAAGAUCCAGAGAACUCUCCGUCAUUGCAAGGUCACCAUCCUCUGCCUCGUCCUCACCGUCGUCGUCUUACAUGGCACUAUCGGAGCCGGUAAAUUCGGGACUCCGGGCCAGGACUUCGUCGAGAUCCGGGACCACCUCUAUUCCCGGAAACAAGGCGAACCGCAUCGCGUCCUCAAAGAAGUCCAAACGACGUCGUCAGAUAACCACGACGGCGCCGACACCAACGCCGGCACCAAUAACUACAACGAGUUCGACAUAAAUAAGAUCUUAAUCGACGAGGAACCA
Molecule: long non-coding RNA, 6362 nt
Filed under: Gossypium barbadense (sea-island cotton)
Lineage: Eukaryota; Viridiplantae; Streptophyta; Magnoliopsida; Malvales; Malvaceae
Description: long non-coding RNA (GBAR_LNC006853)
Source: RNAcentral